GCGAUUAUACCAGUACUAAUGCAUCGGAUCCCAUCAGAACUCUGCAAUUAAAUGCGCUUGGGCGAGAGUAGUACUAGGAUAGGUGACCUCAUUGGAUGUCCUUGUUU
Populus tomentosa is the source of this 107-nucleotide non-coding RNA. NCBI's taxonomy places the organism in Eukaryota, Viridiplantae, Streptophyta, Magnoliopsida, Malpighiales, Salicaceae. The record is from the annotation of a GenBank genome assembly.